UUGAACCAGAUGGAGAAGCAGGGCACGUGCAAUACUAACUCUUAUGAACCAUGAGAAUCAUACACGUGUAGUUAGUCCUUCAUGUGCUCUUCUUCCCCAUCUUGAUAAC
Lupinus albus (white lupine) is the source of this 109-nucleotide non-coding RNA. The record is from the annotation of a GenBank genome assembly. NCBI's taxonomy places the organism in Eukaryota, Viridiplantae, Streptophyta, Magnoliopsida, Fabales, Fabaceae.